This 844-nucleotide ribosomal RNA is filed under the name uncultured archaeon. RNAcentral's name for it is "bacterial SSU rRNA". It matches the Rfam family "Archaeal small subunit ribosomal RNA", at positions 21 to 871 of the family's 1478-position model. The record is from RNAcentral.
ACCUGACUGCUAUCGGAUUGAUACUAAGCCAUGCGAGUCGUUGUAGCAAUACAAGGCAUACGGCUCAGUAACGCGUAGUCAACCUAACCUAUGGACGGGAAUAACCUCGGGAAACUGAGAAUAAUGCCCGAUAGAACAUUAUGCCUGGAAUGGUUUAUGUUCCAAAUGAUUUAUCGCCAUAGGAUGGGACUGCGGCCUAUCAGUUUGUUGGUGAGGUAAUGGCCCACCAAGACUAUUACAGGUACGGGCUCUGAGAGGAGUAGCCCGGAGAUGGGUACUGAGACACGGACCCAGGCCCUAUGGGGCGCAGCAGGCGAGAAAACUUUGCAAUGUGCGAAAGCACGACAAGGUUAAUCCGAGUGAUUUCUGCUAAAGAGAUCUUUUGUUAGUCCUAGAAACACUAACGAAUAAGGGGUGGGCAAGUUCUGGUGUCAGCCGCCGCGGUAAAACCAGCACCUCAAGUGGUCAGGAUGAUUAUUGGGCCUAAAGCAUCCGUAGCCGGCUCUGUAAGUUUUCGGUUAAAUCUGUACGCUCAACGUACAGGCUGCCGGGAAUACUGCAGAACUAGGGAGUGGGAGAGGUAGACGGUACUCGGUAGGAAGUGGUAAAAUGCUUUGAUCUAUCGAUGACCACCUGUGGCGAAGGCGGUCUACCAGAACACGUCCGACGGUGAGGGAUGAAAGCUGGGGGAGCAAACCGGAUUAGAUACCCGGGUAGUCCCAGCUGUAAACUAUGCAAACUCAGUGAUGCAUUGGCUUGUGGCCAAUGCAGUGCUGCAGGGAAGCCGUUAAGUUUGCCGCCUGGGAAGUACGUACGCAAGUAUGAAACUUAAAGGAAUUGGCGG